Molecule: non-coding RNA, 452 nt
Organism: Lepisosteus oculatus (spotted gar)
Lineage: Eukaryota; Metazoa; Chordata; Actinopteri; Semionotiformes; Lepisosteidae
Source: RefSeq, a predicted model, not a curated record
UGUGACCAAGCUGUGCCAGGAGAGUAAAUAUAGUGAGUUAACUAUGGUAAUGUGUGAAGAGUUACUGUAAGGUGUCUUUACAGGUGUGCUGGCCUUCACUGUGGCCAUGAGUCACAUCUUCAGACUGCUGUUCCAAUUCUGAGCCGAGAGAGACCUCUGCUGGCCAGACCACAGCCAAUCAUAAGGGCAGCUGCAGCUCUUGUGUGCUGGGCCUGCGGCACACAGAGACAGUGAGAGGGAAGCACGCGAGACCUGCUCAGCACUGCAACACAGAGCCAGAGUGAAAAAGUCCUGCUCCUCUCUGAGCGGCAAACACUGCUGCCAGUGCAUCACCUCGCCCUGCAAGAGCAUUAGGACCCAUCAAGUCACUCGUUGGUUCAGUGAAGUCAUCGAGGUAGAUCGGAAAGCAGGAAGAUCCCUGUGUGGCCCCGAGGGCCGUCUGGUCCCCUUUG